AAUNANAAAUAUUAGAGAGAGUUCAAGAGUACGAUGAAACUGCUCAGAGGUAAACGGGUGGGCCCUCGAAAUCCUGAUGGCGGGAGGAUUCAGUCGGAAGGCGGGAGCGUGUCAAGCAACUCACAUUGGUUCAGUCACCGGACCGUUUUGCUCGAAAGCUCUCUCGUCGGUACGACGCAUUUGUUUCCCGUCCGAAGGACGCCGCAACCGGUUGGGAGACGGCCUGAAGGUCGGGAGCUGGCAGGUGGCCGGUGGUUUUCCCUUCGGGGUGCCGUCGGUGUCUAGCCUUCCCGGCAGUGGCUCGUAGCCCGACCGUGGUGUCGCGAGGCCCCUCACAUGGGCUUCACCGUCUCCUCCGCAAGGAAGUCGGACAGGCUCGACAGCGGUUCUCCAUUCAACGUGCGCACAGACUCACCCUGUGGCCCGCCGUAGAGGAGUUCCGAAUGGUCGUGCAACCGAUCUGUUGGAGGCUGGCGGUUAGCGGCGAGUAGAUCGGUCACCCACCCGACCCGUCUUGAAACACGGACCAAGGAGUCUAACAUGUGUGCGAGUCAAUGGGUCUCGAAUAAGCCCAGAGGCGCAAUGAAAGCAAAGGCUGGAUCACUCCGGCUGAGUUGGGAUCCCUCCGCCUCCGAGCGGGGGGCGCACCAACGACCCGUCCUAUCCGAUUUAUCGGUUGGGCGGAGUCUGAGCAUACACGUUGGGACCCGAAAGAUGGUGAACUAUGCCCGGGCAGGACGAGGCCAGAGGAAACUCUGGUGGAGGUCCGUAGCGGUUCUGACGUGCAAAUCGAUCGUCAGAUCCGGGUAUAGGGCAAAAAAAA
This 823-nucleotide ribosomal RNA is filed under the name Steatoda triangulosa. RNAcentral describes it as "eukaryotic LSU rRNA". It matches the Rfam family "Eukaryotic large subunit ribosomal RNA", at positions 359 to 934 of the family's 3401-position model. Lineage: Eukaryota; Metazoa; Arthropoda; Arachnida; Araneae; Theridiidae. The record is from RNAcentral.